Molecule: ribosomal RNA, 496 nt
Filed under: uncultured bacterium
Lineage: Bacteria
Description: partial 16S ribosomal RNA
Rfam family: Bacterial small subunit ribosomal RNA
Source: RNAcentral
GAUGAACGCUGGCGGCGUGCCUAAUACAUGCGAGUCGAGCGAACAGAUGAGGAGCUUGCUCCUCUGACGUUAGCGGCGGACGGGUGAGUAACACGUGGAUAACCUACCUAUAAGACUGGGAUAACUUCGGGAAACCGGAGCUAAUACCGGAUAAUAUAUUGAACCGCAUGGUUCAAUAGUGAAAGACGGUUUUGCUGUCACUUAUAGAUGGAUCCGCGCCGCAUUAGCUAGUUGGUAAGGUAACGGCUUACCAAGGCAACGAUGCGUAGCCGACCUGAGAGGUGGUUCGGCCACACGGAACUUGAGACACGGCCCGGCCUCCUAGGGGAGGCGCAGGUGGGGAUCCUUCGGCAAUGGGCGAAAGCCUGCCGGGGCAAGGCGGCGUGGGUAAUGAAGGUCUUCGAUCCGUAAAACUUUGUAAUAGGGGAAGAAAAAUUGUGAAAGUACCUAUCACCGUCUGAACGGUACCUAUCCGGAAGGCCCCGCCUACCUCCUU